Molecule: ribosomal RNA, 497 nt
Filed under: uncultured bacterium
Lineage: Bacteria
Description: partial 16S ribosomal RNA
Rfam family: Bacterial small subunit ribosomal RNA
Source: RNAcentral
GAUGAACGCUGGCGGCGUGCCUAAUACAUGCAAGUCGAGCGAACGGACGAGAAGCUUGCUUCUCUGAUGUUAGCGGCGGACGGGUGAGUAACACGUGGAUAACCUACCUAUAAGACUGGGAUAACUUCGGAAAACCGGAGCUAAUACCGGAUAAUAUUUUGAACCGCAUGAUUCAAAAGUGAAAGACGGUCUUGCUGUCACUUAUAGAUGGAUCCGCGCUGCAUUAGCUAGUUGGUAAGGUAACGGCUUACCAAGGCAACGAUGCAUAGCCGACCUGAGAGGGUGAUCGGCCACACUGGAACUGAGACACGGUCCAGACUCCUACGGGAGGCAGCAGUAGGGAAUCUUCCGCAAUGGGCGAAAGCCUGACGGAGCAACGCCGCGUGAGUGAUGAAGGUCUUCGGAUCGUAAAACUCUGUUAUUAGGGAAGAACAUAUGUGUAAGUAACUGUGCACAUCUUGACGGUACCUAAUCAGAAAGCCACGGCUAACUACGUG